This 497-nucleotide ribosomal RNA is filed under the name uncultured bacterium. Its description in RNAcentral is "partial 16S ribosomal RNA". It matches the Rfam family "Bacterial small subunit ribosomal RNA", at positions 28 to 507 of the family's 1533-position model. The record is from RNAcentral.
GAUGAACGCUGGCGGCGUGCCUAAUACAUGCAAGUCGAGCGAACAGACGAGGAGCUUGCUCCUCUGACGUUAGCGGCGGACGGGUGAGUAACACGUGGAUAACCUACCUAUAAGACUGGGAUAACUUCGGGAAACCGGAGCUAAUACCGGAUAACAUGUUGAACCGCAUGGUUCAACAGUGAAAGACGGUCUUGCUGUCACUUAUAGAUGGAUCCGCGCCGCAUUAGCUAGUUGGUAAGGUAACGGCUUACCAAGGCAACGAUGCGUAGCCGACCUGAGAGGGUGAUAGGCCACACUGGAACUGAGACACGGUCCAGACUCCUACGGGAGGCAGCAGUAGGGAAUCUUCCGCAAAGGGCGAAAGCCUGACGGAGCAACGCCGCGUGAGUGAAGAAGGUCUUCGGAUCGUAAAACUCUGUUAUUAGGGAAGAACAAAUGUGUAAGUAACUAUGCACGUCUUGACGGUACCUAAUCAGAAAGCCACGGCUAACUACGUG